ACGGGUGAGUAACGCGUAGGCAACCUGCCCCUUACAGAGGGAUAGCCUCGGGAAACCGGGAUUAAAACCUCAUAACGCAUACUAAACACAUGUUUAAGAUGCCAAAGAUUUAUCGGUAAGGGAUGGGCCUGCGUCUGAUUAGCUAGUUGGUAAGGUAACGGCUUACCAAGGCGACGAUCAGUAGCCGACCUGAGAGGGUAAUCGGCCACAUUGGAACUGAGACACGGUCCAAACUCC
This 237-nucleotide ribosomal RNA is filed under the name uncultured bacterium. RNAcentral's name for it is "partial 16S ribosomal RNA". It matches the Rfam family "Bacterial small subunit ribosomal RNA", at positions 102 to 339 of the family's 1533-position model. The record is from RNAcentral.